GAUUAGACUUUGAAGAGAAGAGUAGUGCUCAACAAUCCAGCAAGAGAGCUUCAGGUGGUGGAACGAAGUGUAUUGAAGAGCAUGAAGAUGAGCUCUGAGUUAGUUUGCUUGGUCACAAUGGCCGGGCAGGCCGGUAGCAACCGUUAUCUUGCCGGGUAUUUCCAGUUAGCUGGAGUACCUAUUGAGGUUGCUAUUGUGAAUUAGCAAUAAAUUAAGGGUGGCACCGCGAAAGCUUUCGUCCCUAGA
Molecule: non-coding RNA, 246 nt
Filed under: Limosilactobacillus frumenti
Lineage: Bacteria; Bacillati; Bacillota; Bacilli; Lactobacillales; Lactobacillaceae
Description: Lactobacillus frumenti T-box sequence
Rfam family: T-box leader
About the family: Uncharged tRNA acts as the effector for transcription antitermination of genes in the T-box leader family. T-boxes are found upstream of many aminoacyl-tRNA synthetase genes and some amino acid biosynthetic genes usually in Gram-positive bacteria.
Source: RNAcentral